CUCUGUUUCAGAUGAUUCAGGGCAAAGGAG
Non-coding RNA from Brochothrix thermosphacta, 30 nucleotides. NCBI's taxonomy places the organism in Bacteria, Bacillati, Bacillota, Bacilli, Caryophanales, Listeriaceae. The record is from Rfam.